This 305-nucleotide unclassified non-coding RNA is filed under the name uncultured Pleosporales. RNAcentral's name for it is "sequence contains ITS1". The stretch from base 1 to 105 matches the Rfam family "5.8S ribosomal RNA", at positions 50 to 154 of the family's 154-position model. The record is from RNAcentral. Lineage: Eukaryota; Fungi; Ascomycota; Dothideomycetes; Pleosporales.
GAAAUGCGAUAAGUAGUGUGAAUUGCAGAAUUCAGUGAAUCAUCGAAUCUUUGAACGCACAUUGCGCCCUUUGGUAUUCCUUAGGGCAUGCCUGUUCGAGCGUCAUUUACACCUUCAAGCUCUGCUUGGUGUUGGGCGUCUGUCCUGCCCCUCGGGGCGUGGACUCGCCUUAAAUCUAUUGGCGGCCGGUACCGUGGCUUUGAGCGCAGCACAUCAGCGACCUCAUCGCCGGAGCGUAUCGACUCCCAGAAGCCCAUUUUCUAUGUUUUGACCUCGGAUCAGGUAGGGAUACCCGCUGAACUUAA